CAGGCCUAACACAUGCAAGUCGAACGAAGGCUUCGGCCUUAGUGGCGCACGGGUGCGUAACGCGUGGGAAUCUGCCCUUGGGUUCGGAAUAACAGCGAGAAAUUGCUGCUAAUACCGGAUGAUGACGUAAGUCCAAAGAUUUAUCGCCCAGGGAUGAGCCCGCGUAGGAUUAGCUAGUUGGUGAGGUAAAGGCUUACCAAGGCGACGAUCGAUAGCUGGUCUGAGAGGAUGAUCAGCCACACUGGGACUGAGACACGGCCCAGACUCCUACGGGAGGCAGCAGUGGGGAAUAUUGGACAAUGGGCGCAAGCCUGAUCCAGCAAUGCCGCGUGGAUGAAGAAGGUUUUCGGAUUGUAAAGUCCUUUCGGCGGGGACGAUGAUGACGGUACCCGCAGAAGAAGCCCCGGCUAACUUCGUGCCAGCAGCCGCGGUAAU
RNAcentral lists this ribosomal RNA (435 nucleotides) under uncultured bacterium. Its description in RNAcentral is "bacterial SSU rRNA". It matches the Rfam family "Bacterial small subunit ribosomal RNA", at positions 43 to 524 of the family's 1533-position model. The record is from RNAcentral.